AGUAACCGUCCAUAAAUAACUUAGGCAACUAAGUAUUUUAAGGUUACUUAGCAAAAGUUCUUCGGAACUACGUUAGGGGCGAAAUUAGGCACUCUUGCGAUGCAUCGUAAGGAAGAGACUCUGCGGAAAGUCAUUAAACAAGUCUGAUGGAAAGGCUAGUGUGGCUUUCAUUUAAAACCGCUUUCUAACAUUAGCUAGGAGACCAUUAC
This is a non-coding RNA of Beggiatoa sp., 209 nucleotides long. NCBI's taxonomy places the organism in Bacteria, Pseudomonadati, Pseudomonadota, Gammaproteobacteria, Thiotrichales, Thiotrichaceae. The record is from Rfam.